Molecule: ribosomal RNA, 449 nt
Filed under: uncultured bacterium
Lineage: Bacteria
Description: partial 16S ribosomal RNA
Rfam family: Bacterial small subunit ribosomal RNA
Source: RNAcentral
AGCGAACGCUGGCGGCAGGCCUAAUACAUGCAAGUCGAACGGUCUCUUCGGAGGCAGUGGCGGACGGGUGAGUAACGCGUGGGAACGUGCCCUUUGGUACGGAACAACUGAGGGAAACUUCAGCUAAUACCGUAUGUGCCCUUCGGGGGAAAGAUUUAUCGCCAUUGGAGCGGCCCGCGUUGGAUUAGCUAGUUGGUGGGGUAAUGGCCCACCAAGGCGACGAUCCAUAGCUGGUCUGAGAGGAUGAUCAGCCACACUGGGACUGAGACACGGCCCAGACUCCUACGGGAGGCAGCAGUAGGGAAUCUUGCGCAAUGGGCGAAAGCCUGACGCAGCCAUGCCGCGUGAAUGAUGAAGGUCUUAGGAUUGUAAAAUUCUUUCACCGGGGACGAUAAUGACGGUACCCGGAGAAGAAGCCCCGGCUAACUUCGUGCCAGCCGCCGCGGUAA